UCGGCAAUGGGGGAAACCCUGACCGAGCAACGCCGCGUGAAUGAUGACGGCCUUCGGGUUGUAAAAUUCUGUGGCGAGGAACGAAUGGCAAGGAGAGGAAAUGCUCUUUGUUUGACGGUACCUCGCUAGAAAGCCACGGCUAACUACGUGCCAGCAGCCGCGGUAAUACGUAGGUGGCAAGCGUUAUCCGGAAUUAUUGGGCGUAAAGAGUGAGCAGGCGGUUUUUUAAGUCUGAAGUCAAAUCCUGUGGCUCAACCACAGUUCGCUUUGGAAACUGAAGAACUAGAGUGCGGGAGAGGUAAGCGGAAUUCCAUAUGUAGCGGUGAAAUGCACAGAUAUAUGGAGGAACACCGGUGGCGAAGGCGGCUUACCAGCCCGAUACUGACGCUCAGUCACGAAAGCGUGGGGAGCAAAUAGGCUUAGAUACCCUAGUAGUCCACGCCGUAAACGUUGAGGACCUGAUGCCGGAGUAUUUCGGUGUCGUAGCUAACGCGUUAAGUCCUCCGCCUGGGUACUACGUUCGCAAGAAUAAAACUUAAAGGAAUUGACGGGGGCCCGCACAAGCAGUGGAGCAUGUGGUUUAAUUCGUCGCUACGCGAAAAACCUUACCAGGGUUUGACAUCCCGCUAAAAGUCUUGGAAACAAGAUCAUAGUUAUAGCGGUGAAAGGUGGUGCAUGGUUGUCGUCAGCUCGUGUCGUGAGAUGUUGGGUUAAGUCCCCUAACGAGCGCAACCCUUGUCUCUAUUUGCCAUCAUUAAGUUGGGAACUAUAGAGAGACUGCCGGUGCAAACCGGAGGAAGAUGGGGAUGACGUCAAAUCAUCAUGCCCCUUAUGCCCUGGGCCACACACGUGCUACAAUGGCCGGUACAGAGAGAAGCAAUCCCGUGAGGAGGAGCAAAUCUCACAAAGCCGGUCUCAGUUCGGAUUGGAGUCUGCAACUCGACUCCAUGAAGCUGGAAUUGCUAGUAAUCGCAGAUCAGCAUGCUGCGGUGAAUACGUUCCCGGGCCUUGUACACACUGCCCGUCACACCAUGAGAGUCGGCAAUACUCGAAGUCGUUAUCUUAACCUGCAAGGGAGGGAGGCGCCUAAGGUAGGGCUGAUGAUUGGGGUUAAGUCGUAACAAGGUAUCCCUACGGGAACGUGGGGAUG
Molecule: ribosomal RNA, 1150 nt
Filed under: human gut metagenome
Description: bacterial SSU rRNA
Rfam family: Bacterial small subunit ribosomal RNA
Source: RNAcentral